This 253-nucleotide ribosomal RNA is filed under the name uncultured bacterium. Its description in RNAcentral is "partial 16S ribosomal RNA". It matches the Rfam family "Bacterial small subunit ribosomal RNA", at positions 524 to 776 of the family's 1533-position model. The record is from RNAcentral.
UACGGAGGGGGCCAGCGUUGUUCGGAAUUACUGGGCGUAAAGCGCACGUAGGCGGCUUUGUAAGUUAGAGGUGAAAGCCCGGGGCUCAACUCCGGAAUUGCCUUUAAGACUGCAUCGCUAGAAUUGUGGAGAGGUAAGUGGAAUUCCGAGUGUAGAGGUGAAAUUCGUAGAUAUUCGGAAGAACACCAGUGGCGAAGGCGACUUACUGGACACAUAUUGACGCUGAGGUGCGAAAGCGUGGGGAGCAAACAGG